GUAUCAGGCUGAAGUUAGUGAUUUAUCUUAAUUGAUGGUUACAGAUCAAAAUCCUUAUUCUACUCUUUCCCUCUUCUCACUGCUGUAUUUGACUAUUCUAAA
This 102-nucleotide Y RNA is filed under the name Pongo abelii (Sumatran orangutan). It matches the Rfam family "Y RNA". From Rfam's summary of the family: Y RNAs are components of the Ro ribonucleoprotein particle (Ro RNP), in association with Ro60 and La proteins. The Y RNAs and Ro60 and La proteins are well conserved, but the function of the Ro RNP is not known. The record is from RNAcentral. Lineage: Eukaryota; Metazoa; Chordata; Mammalia; Primates; Hominidae.